AGAAUCAACGCUGGCGGCGUGCCUAACACAUGCAAGUCGAACGAGAAAGUGGUAGCAAUACCAUGAGUAAAGUGGCGCACGGGUGAGUAACACGUGACUAACCUACCCUGGAGUGGGGGAUAACCGAGGGAAACCUCAGCUAAUACCGCAUAACACCUACGGGUCAAAGGAGCAAUUCGCUUCAGGAGGGGGUCGCGGCCGAUUAGUUAGUUGGCGGGGUAAUGGCCCACCAAGACUGUGAUCGGUAUCCGGCCUGAGAGGGCGCACGGACACACUGGAACUGAAACACGGUCCAGACUCCUACGGGAGGCAGCAGUGGGGAAUUUUGCGCAAUGGGGGAAACCCUGACGCAGCAACGCCGCGUGGAGGAUGAAGUACUUCGGUACGUAAACUCCUUUCGAUCGGGACGAUAAUGACGGUACCGAGAGAAGAAGCCCCGGCUAACUUCGCGCCAGCAGCCG
This 461-nucleotide ribosomal RNA is filed under the name uncultured bacterium. RNAcentral describes it as "SSU rRNA". It matches the Rfam family "Bacterial small subunit ribosomal RNA", at positions 26 to 517 of the family's 1533-position model. The record is from RNAcentral.